CUGACGAGUGGCGGACGGGUGAGUAAUGCUUGGGAUUCUGGCUUAUGGAGGGGGAUAACGACGGGAAACUGUCGCUAAUACCGCGUAUUAUCGGAAGAUGAAAGUGCGGGACUGAGAGGCCGCAUGCCAUAGGAUGAGCCCAAGUGGGAUUAGGUAGUUGGUGGGGUAAAGGCCUACCAAGCCUGCGAUCUCUAGCUGGUCUGAGAGGAUGACCAGCCACACUGGAACUGAGACACGGUCCAGACUCCUACGGGAGGCAGCAGUGGGGAAUAUUGCGCAAUGGGGGGAACCCUGACGCAGCCAUGCCGCGUGAAUGAAGAAGGCCUUAGGGUUGUAAAGUUCUUUCGGUAUUGAGGAAGGUUGAUGUGUUAAUAGCACAUCAAAUUGACGUUAAAUACAGAAGAAGCACCGGCUAACUCCGUGCCAGCAGCCGCGGUAAUACGGAGGGUGCGAGCGUUAAUCGGAAUAACUGGGCGUAAAGGGCACGCAGGCGGUUAUUUAAGUGAGGUGUGAAAGCCCCGGGCUUAACCUGGGAAUUGCAUUUCAGACUGGGUAACUAGAGUACUUUAGGGAGGGGUAGAAUUCCACGUGUAGCGGU
This 598-nucleotide ribosomal RNA is filed under the name Haemophilus influenzae. RNAcentral's name for it is "bacterial SSU rRNA". It matches the Rfam family "Bacterial small subunit ribosomal RNA", at positions 88 to 682 of the family's 1533-position model. Lineage: Bacteria; Pseudomonadati; Pseudomonadota; Gammaproteobacteria; Pasteurellales; Pasteurellaceae. The record is from RNAcentral.